This 358-nucleotide ribosomal RNA is filed under the name uncultured Streptomycetaceae bacterium. Its description in RNAcentral is "bacterial SSU rRNA". It matches the Rfam family "Bacterial small subunit ribosomal RNA", at positions 1 to 362 of the family's 1533-position model. Lineage: Bacteria; Bacillati; Actinomycetota; Actinomycetes; Kitasatosporales; Streptomycetaceae. The record is from RNAcentral.
ACAGUAUAUAAGAGUUUGAUCAUGGCUCAGGACGAACGCUGGCGGCGUGCUUAACACAUGCAAGUCGAACGGUGAAGCCUUCGGGUGGAUCAGUGGCGAACGGGUGAGUAACACGUGGGCGAUCUGCCCUGCACUCUGGGACAAGCCCUGGAAACGGGGUCUAAUACCGGAUAUGACCUUCCUCCGCAUGGGGGUUGGUGUAAAGCUCCGGCGGUGCAGGAUGAGCCCGCGGCCUAUCAGCUUGUUGGUGGGGUAAUGGCCUACCAAGGCGACGACGGGUAGCCGGCCUGAGAGGGCGACCGGCCACAUUGGGACUGAGACACGGCCCAGACUCCUACGGGAGGCAGCAGUGGGGAAU